Molecule: long non-coding RNA, 534 nt
Organism: Callithrix jacchus (white-tufted-ear marmoset)
Lineage: Eukaryota; Metazoa; Chordata; Mammalia; Primates; Cebidae
Source: RefSeq, a predicted model, not a curated record
UUAUUCAUUUUCAGGGCAGUGAUAAAGUUACACACUUUUAUGUGUACUUCAGUUGUUUAACCCUGUAUUUUCUUUUUAUAGGCAAAAUUAUUGCUGUCUGCUGUACCCAUGGGUUAAACAGGACUGGCUACCUCAUUUGCAGUGUACCCAGGUCAAGUGGUUUUGAAGACUCAGCACAUUUCAUGCAGCCAGUCCACCCCAUGAAUUAGCCUGUUAAACAAAGCCCUAGGUGUAAUCUACAUGGGAUCCAGGGUCACUCAACUCCUCGGCAUUUCCACGCUCAGACCCCACAUUUGCAACAGUGAGUCAGUGGACAUGAUGUUGGAAUUGCUUCAAUGAAGAAUCAAAAAUGAUAAAUCAGAAUGUUCAAGGCACUAAGAGUCAGAUCUCUCAGCUGUUCUCCAAUCUUGCCUGUGACUAGUCAUGUGUCUUUGGGAUAACUGGACUUGCUUUCAUCAAUACAUCUUUCUAAUCUCUACAAUUUUCAUCCUGCUGCUUCAACUUGGGACCAACUGGAGAAAGCAAAAUACUCAC